GACGAACGCUGGCGGCGUGCUUAACACAUGCAAGUCGAACGGAAAGGCCCUGCUUGCAGGGUGCUCGAGUGGCGAACGGGUGAGUAACACGUGGGUGAUCUGCCCCUUACUUUGGGAUAAGCCUGGGAAACUGGGUCUAAUACUGGAUAGGACCAUGCUGUAGGUGGUGUGGUGGAAAGAUUAGUUUCGGUAAGGGAUGAGCUCGCGGCCUAUCAGCUUGUUGGUGGGGUAAUGGCCUACCAAGGCGUCGACGGGUAGCCGGCCUGAGAGGGUGGACGGCCACAUUGGGACUGAGAUACGGCCCAGACUCCUACGGGAGGCAGCAGUGGGGAAUAUUGCACAAUGGGCGCAAGCCUGAUGCAGCGACGCCGCGGGGGGGAUGACGGCCGUCGGGUUGUAAACUCCUUUCAGCCAUGACGAAGCCCUUGUGGUGACGGUAGUGGUAGAAGAAGCACCGGCUAACUACGUG
RNAcentral lists this ribosomal RNA (469 nucleotides) under uncultured bacterium. RNAcentral's name for it is "partial 16S ribosomal RNA". It matches the Rfam family "Bacterial small subunit ribosomal RNA", at positions 28 to 507 of the family's 1533-position model. The record is from RNAcentral.